This 497-nucleotide ribosomal RNA is filed under the name uncultured bacterium. RNAcentral's name for it is "partial 16S ribosomal RNA". It matches the Rfam family "Bacterial small subunit ribosomal RNA", at positions 28 to 507 of the family's 1533-position model. The record is from RNAcentral.
GAUGAACGCUGGCGGCGUGCCUAAUACAUGCAAGUCGAGCGAACGGACGAGAAGCUUGCUUCUCUGAUGUUAGCGGCGGACGGGUGAGUAACACGUGGAUAACCUACCUAUCAGACUGGGAUAACUUCGGGAAACCGGAGCUAAUACCGGAUGAUAUUUUGAACCGCAUGGUUCAAAAGUGAAAGACGGUCUUGCUGUCACGUAUCGAUGGAUCCGCGCUGCAUUAGCUAGUUGGUAAGGUAACGGCUUACCAAGGCAACGAUGCAUAGCCGACCUGAGAGGGUGAUCGGCCACACUGGAACUGAGACACGGUCCAGACUCCUACGGGAGGCAGCAGUAGGGAAUCUUCCGCAAUGGGCGAAAGCCUGACGGAGCAGCGCCGCGUGAGUGAUGAAGGUCUUCGGAUCGUAAAACUCUGUUAUUAGGGAAGAACAUAUGUGUAAUUAACUGUGCACAUCUUGACGGUACCUAAUCAGAAAGCCCCGGCUAACUACGUG